UACGAAGGGGGCUAGCGUUGUUCGGAAUUACUGGGCGUAAAGGGCGCGUAGGCGGUACUUCAAGUCAGGCGUGAAAGCCCCGGGCUCAACCUGGGAACCGCGCUUGAGACUGGAGAACUAGAGUUCGGGAGAGGAUGGUGGAAUUCCCAGUGUAGAGGUGAAAUUCGUAGAUAUUGGGAAGAACACCGAUGGCGAAGGCAACCAUCUGGACCGACACUGACGCUGAGGCACGAAAGCGUGGGGAGCAAACAGG
RNAcentral lists this ribosomal RNA (253 nucleotides) under uncultured bacterium. RNAcentral describes it as "partial 16S ribosomal RNA". It matches the Rfam family "Bacterial small subunit ribosomal RNA", at positions 524 to 776 of the family's 1533-position model. The record is from RNAcentral.